UGGGGAAUAUUGGACAAUGGGCGAAAGCCUGAUCCAGCCAUGCCGCGUGAGUGAUGAAGGCCCUAGGGUUGUAAAGCUCUUUCACCGGUGAAGAUAAUGACGGUAACCGGAGAAGAAGCCCCGGCUAACUUCGUGCCAGCAGCCGCGGUAAUACGAAGGGGGCUAGCGUUGUUCGGAAUUACUGGGCGUAAAGCGCACGUAGGCGGAUAUUUAAGUCAGGGGUGAAAUCCCGGGGCUCAACCCCGGAACUGCCUUUGAUACUGGGUAUCUAGAGUAUGGUAGAGGUGAGUGGAAUUCCGAGUGUAGAGGUGAAAUUCGUAGAUAUUCGGAGGAACACCAGUGGCGAAGGCGGCUCACUGGACCAUUACUGACGCUGGGGUGCGAAAGCGUGGGGAGCAAACAGGAUUAGAUACCCUGGUAGUCCACGCCGUAAACGAUGGAAGCUAGCCGUUGGCAGGUUUACCUGUCGGUGGCGCAGCUAACGCAUUAAGCUUCCCGCCUGGGGAGUACGGUCGCAAGAUU
Molecule: ribosomal RNA, 522 nt
Filed under: uncultured bacterium
Lineage: Bacteria
Description: partial 16S ribosomal RNA
Rfam family: Bacterial small subunit ribosomal RNA
Source: RNAcentral